Molecule: microRNA, 23 nt
Filed under: Parasteatoda tepidariorum (common house spider)
Lineage: Eukaryota; Metazoa; Arthropoda; Arachnida; Araneae; Theridiidae
Description: pte-miR-35p-3p
Gene: pte-miR-35p-3p
Source: miRBase by way of RNAcentral
UCACCGGGUGAGACAUUUUGCAU